Long non-coding RNA from Cyprinus carpio carpio, 3453 nucleotides. The record is from Ensembl. NCBI's taxonomy places the organism in Eukaryota, Metazoa, Chordata, Actinopteri, Cypriniformes, Cyprinidae.
AUGCACUGCUCUCAGGGCAGGAACACUCAAAAUUCAUAUUACUGUUAUUUUAAUAAACUACGCACUGCUCUCAGGGCAGGAGCACUCAAUAUUCAUAUUACUGUUAUUUUAAUAAACUAUGUGCUGCUCUCAGGGCAGGAGUACUCAAUAUUCAUAUUACUGUUAUUUUUACUAAACUAUGUGCUGCUCUCAGGGCAGGAGUACUCAAUAUUCAUAUUACUGUUAUUUUUACUAAACUAUGCGCUGCUCUCAGGGCAUCAGGGCAGGAGUACUCAAUAUUCAUAUUACUGUUAUUUUACUAAACUAUGUGCUGCUCUCAGGCCAGGAGUACUCAAUAUUCAUAUGACUGUUAUUUUACUAAACUAUGCACUGCUCUCAGGGCAGGAGUACUCAAUAUUCAUAUUACUGUUAUUUUUAGGGUACUAUGUGCUGGCAGUAGUACUCAAUAUUCAUAUAACUGUUAUUUUUAGUAUAUUAUGUGCUGCUCUCAGGGCAGGAGUACUCAAUAUUCAUAUAACUGUUAUUUUUAGUAUACUAUGCGCUGCUCUCAGGGCAGGAAUACUCAAUAUUCAUAUUACUGUUAUUUUUCUAAACUAUGCACUGCUCUCAGGGCAGGAGUACUCAAUAUUCAUAUUACUGUUAUUUUUAGGGUACUAUGUGCUGGCAGGAGUAAUCAAAAUUCAUAUAACUGUUAUUUUACUAAACUAUGCACUGCUCUCAGGGCAGGAGUACUCAAUAUUCAUAUUACUGUUAUUUUAAUAAACUAUGUGCUGCUCUCAGGGCAGGAGCACUCAAUAUUCAUAUUACUGUUAUUUUAAUAAACUAUGUGCUGCUCUCAGGGCAGGAGUACUCAAUAUUCAUAUUACUGUUAUUUUACUAAACUAUGUGCUGCUCUCAGGGCAGGAGUACUCAAUAUUCAUAUUACUCUUAUUUUAAUAAACUACGCACUGCUCUCAGGGCAGGAGCACUCAAUAUUCAUAUUACUGUUAUUUUACUAAACUAUGCGCUGCUCUCAGGGCAGGAGUACUCAAUCUUCAUAUUACUGUUAUUUUACUCAACUAUGCGCUGCUCUCAGGGCAGAAGUACUCAAUAUUCAUAUUACUGUUAUUUUACUAAAUUAUGUGCUGCUCUCCGGGCAGGAGUACUCAAUAUUCAUAUUACCGUUAUUUUACUAAACUAUGCACUGCUCUCAGGGCAGGAGUACUCAAUAUUCAUAUUACUGUUAUUUUUAGGGUACUAUGUGCUGGCAGGAACACUCAAUAUUCAUAUAACUGUUAUUUUUAGUAUAUUAUGUGCUGCUCUCAGGGCAGGAACACUCAAUAUUCAUAUUACCAUUAUUUUACUAAACUAUGCGCUGCUCUCAGGGCAGGAGUAAUCAAAAUUCAUAUAACUGUUAUUUUUACUAAACUGCGCUGCUCUCAGGGCAGGAAUACUCAAUAUUCAUAUUACUGUUAUUUUUCUAAACUAUGCACUGCUCUCAGGGCAUGAGUACUCAAUAUUCAUAUUACUGUUAUUUUUAGUGUAUUAUGUGCUGCUCUCAGGGCAGGAACACUCAAUAUUCAUAUUACUGUUAUUUUUAGGGUACUAUUUUCUGGCAGGAGUACUCAAUAUUCAUAUUACUGUUAUUUUUAGUGUACUAUGUGCUGCUCUCAGGGCAGGAGCACUCAAUAUUCAUAUUACUGUUAUUUUACUAAACUAUGCGCUGCUCUCAGGGCAGGAGUACUCAAUCUUCAUAUUACUGUUAUUUUACUCAACUAUGCGCUGCUCUCAGGGAAGGAGUACUCAAUAAUUAUAUUACCAGACUCUUUGUGCAUUUCAAAUGCAGGAAGACAUGGCAAACACUUCUGGAGACUUUGAGAAACUGCCUUUGAGAAGAUAUCUGGCAAGGCGACCUACAGUAUGGCCUGGUUUAAAGGGAGCACGUUCAAACUACAGCAGUUUAAUGAUGCAUCUACCUUUUCCUGUGAAAUCUUCCUGUGUGUUGUACAUGCAUUUAAUUCACUGGAUUUGUUUUUUAUUGUUUAAAAAGAGAAAGUAGUCAUACUUAUACUUGAUUAUUUUAUUGUAAUAUUGGACCCGUAAACUGAUUAUUUUCAAUCAACAUUUAAUUUUGUUCUUACACAAACAAUCUGUACAACAGACAUUGAAUGAAACAACAUUUACAGCACAGUAAAAAAAAAAAAAAAACACAGGCUUAGCCUAUGAGAACAUUAAGUGGUUGCACAUAGAUUGACACCGGGAACGUUUAAAAUCACAUUUAUGUGUCACCAAGUCAACUCAGGACUUCUCUCACAAUUCAGAUGGCAAUUGUUAUUCAAGGCAUUGAUGUUUGCAUACAAAACCACCACUGGCUCUGCACCCCUUUACCUAAAUUCAUUACUUCAGACUUAUGUGCCCUCUAGAAGCUUGCGUUCUGCAAGUGAACAUCGCUUGAUUGUGCCAUCCCAAAGAAGCACAAAGUCACUUUUACGGACUUUUAAAUUAAAUGUUCCCUCCUGGUGGAAUGACCUGCCCAACUCAAUCCGAGCAGCUGAGUCCUUACCCAUCUUUAAGAAUCGGCUUAAAACACAUCUCUUCCAUCUUUAUUUGACCCUCUAACUUUUUCACUCACUAUUCUAAUUCUAUUUAAAAAAAAAAAUCUAACUACCUUUUUAAUCUUUUUGUAUUCUAUCUAUUUUCUUUUCAUUUAUUAUACAAUUAUAAAAAGACCCCUAACACUAGCUUGCUCUAUUCUUUUUCUAUUCUAUCUGUUUUUCUUUUUAUUUAUUAUAUUAUUUAAAAGCCCUUGCUACGUAUACUGUGUUUAGGCUAACUGAGACUUGUUAUAGCACUUAUAUAUCAUUGCUCUUUUGUUGUUUUUGAUUGCUUCCAUUGUCCUCAUUUGUAAGUCGCUUUGGAUAAAAGCGUCUGCUAAAUGACUAAAUGUAAAUGUAAAUGUAAAUAUGGACAUAUGUAAAAAAUUAUUUACAUGGCACCUCAGCGAUAACUCAUGUAUUUGAUGAUUUAUUCACAGUGGAGAAGAAAGAUGUGAGAUCAUUAUGAACCUAGGAAUGCACUGCUGACAUGGCCAGUUGCAUAGUUGUCUGCUCUAAAUAAAAUGCCAUACUCUUGGAAUAAAAGAUUUAAAUGUACUGUAAUACUAUACUAUUUAUUAUUUAUUUAAAUCUCUGGUUUAAAAAUAGGAAAAUAGACCCAAUAUAGUUGAAAUGGUUCUUAAUUUUUAUCUCUCAAAAUGAUGGGUGUCAUUAAAAAUGUGGAGAUUAGCAUUAAUAAGUAAAUGCAACCUCUUAUUUACAUGAGGUAAACAAAGCUGCUUGGUUCGCAUUUUCAAGUACGUAAUUGUAGGCCUAUACAUAUUUUAAAAAUGGUAUUGUAUACCUGUUACUGCCAUAAUAAUUACCCAUUUCAAAUGUUUACAUGCUUUUCUGGUCUUUUUUGUUUUUAACAAGCAUC